CCUUAUUAUUUUUCCCAAUUCUUCCGCGAAAUCUCCAUCUCCAAUCUAAUCGUCUUCCAUCUCCAAUCCGACCAUCUUCCGACCUCGUCACCAUUCGCCCCUACUCCUGGUCGUCUGUUCACUCUGGCGUGGCCAUCUAUUUGCUCUGAUGUGUCCAUUGUUUUCGUCUUCUCCGGCGCUGCCAUUCGUGCCCGUCGCCACCUCCUCUGCCGAUGAGUCUUGAAGAAGCGAUAGGAUACGUUGGAUCUGAUGAACUUAUUAAGGGAGAUGGAUCUCUUGCUAGUUCCUUAUUCCUCAGAUCCCAGCCUAAAAAUAAUCCAAAUGCCUCCCUUUUUACUAGCCAGCAAGAUUCCAAUAACCUUGGAUAUGGCUGUUGAAUUUCGAUCCAGAGAUUCUGACCUAUGGAAGCACAUUUAUGCAGAUGAGUACAUGAAAUGUAAAGUGAUAGAGUGUUGUGAAUCUUUAAAAAAUGUCCUGAAUGUUCUGGUAGUUGGAGAAAAUGAGAAAAGAUUCCAAGCUACAUUCCUACUUAUUGAACCAAACAUCAUCAAAUAAUCAUAGUUCUUUCGUUUUUGUCAGUUGCAGUUUUUUUUUUUUUUUUUUUUUUGUCGACUUUGACACUUGAACAAGUUUUUUUUUUUUUAUGAGGAUAUAUUAAGAAUCUUGCUUUUAAGGCUUCCUCUUUUCUCUCUCGCUUUAUUUAAAUGAUAGUAAAUGGUUCAAAUUAGUUUAUUACAACAAUGAUUUGUAUGUAGUUUCAUUUAUAAUGUCAAUAUAUCAAAAUUCUUGAUUAAUUGAUCAAAGAAAGUGUUAAACAAUUUGCUCAAGAUAACAUUGCUCCCCAUGCCACAAAAAUUGAUCAACCCAACUCUUUUCCAAAUGUCAGUUGGAAGUCCUUCUCUAUAUGUUUAAUGAGUUGCUAUAUGAUUUGACUAAAAUGUAUUGUAUUGUAGGAUGUUAACUUAUGGAAGCUCAUUCGGGACUUCAAUCUCCAUGGAAUUAGAACAUCAGAUUACUUAUUUAUAUCCAGGUAAAUUUUCUAAAGAGUAACGAUACAAGAGUUGUAAUUUGUAAAAAGUUUCAAUAUUGUAGACCAAGUGGAUGUUACGGUGAUGCUGUUAUUCUACAUUUGUGCUCUGCUCUGUAGUUGUUUCUCUUAUCGACGCAUGUAGUGAUAGGUUCAACUGGAGUCGACAACUUCAUGAGUUUACUUUCAAAGAACAUUUUCAGAGACGAACAU
Molecule: long non-coding RNA, 1240 nt
Organism: Cucumis sativus (cucumber)
Lineage: Eukaryota; Viridiplantae; Streptophyta; Magnoliopsida; Cucurbitales; Cucurbitaceae
Exons: 6
Source: RefSeq, a predicted model, not a curated record